GGGCGUAUAGCUCAGUGGUAGAGCGCUGUUCUUAUAAAGCAGUGGUCCUUGGUUCGAUCCCAAGUACGCCCA
This 72-nucleotide transfer RNA is filed under the name Pseudomonadota bacterium. RNAcentral describes it as "tRNA-Ile". It matches the Rfam family "tRNA". Rfam says of the family: Transfer RNA (tRNA) molecules are approximately 80 nucleotides in length. Their secondary structure includes four short double-helical elements and three loops (D, anti-codon, and T loops). The record is from RNAcentral. Lineage: Bacteria; Pseudomonadati; Pseudomonadota. RNAcentral also lists the same sequence under 2 other names.